CCCUGCCAUUUGUACACACCGCCCGUCGCACCUACCGAUUGAAUGGUCCGGUGAAGCCUUCGGAUCGUUGCUGUGCCCCUCACGGAGCCAGCAGCGAAAAGUUGGCUAAACCUUACCAUUUAGAGGAAGGUGAAGUCGUAACAAGGUUUCCGU
RNAcentral lists this ribosomal RNA (153 nucleotides) under uncultured eukaryote. RNAcentral's name for it is "partial small subunit ribosomal RNA". It matches the Rfam family "Eukaryotic small subunit ribosomal RNA", at positions 1651 to 1806 of the family's 1831-position model. The record is from RNAcentral.